RNAcentral lists this long non-coding RNA (3650 nucleotides) under Homo sapiens (human). RNAcentral describes it as "family with sequence similarity 238 member C (FAM238C)". The record is from RNAcentral. Lineage: Eukaryota; Metazoa; Chordata; Mammalia; Primates; Hominidae.
GUCAGCCAUAUGCCUGUGCUCUCAAGUGCCAAGUUUGUGGGGAUGCAUGCAGGGGAUUCUGGACCUGAUUGUUUCCUCUGAACCAGGAUGUGGUCUGGUUGGCAGGGCAACUGGUCUUCACUUGGUGGCCUUCAGUGGGUGUCCUCAUUGGUUGCCUUCAGAUAGUGCCCUCAGUUGGUACCAUCAGUUGGCGCUCUUCAGGUGGUGGUCCUCAGUUGGUGGUCUUCAGUUGUAGGGCAAUGGUGGAAGGAGGAUGAAACUGUGCUUUCUCCUCCCCCAGUCACAGCUCUCAGGCUUGCUGCCUCCGGGCCCUUCUAAAAUAAACCAGACAGGUUGGCAGGUUUUUCUUAACAGACAAGUCAGCUCAGGGUACAGGGGUGACACAGGGUGCAGGCUGCUAGUGCAGUGCCACCCCAUGGCCCAGGGGUGCCCGUGCCAGCCAUGCCUUUGCCAGGAAGAGGCGAUAGGUGUUGAGCUCUGCAGACUUGGGGACAAGCGAACACCCAAGCUGCCUGAGAAGUGCAGGGGUGCCCCAUGGGGACCACACUGAACUGUCGCAUGUGCACCAAAGCCAGCCCCAGUCAGGGCCGGCACAAGGUUUCUGCAGAGCCAGCCUGUGGCUCUGACGUCUACAAGUGUGCAUACAACGAAGGCGCAGGCUGCGAUAUACAGGAGCAGAGGCACCCAGAACACGCUGCCCCUGCUGCCAGUUGCAAGUGGGGUCUGCUCAGAAUGCGGAGGGUGAAGCUGUCCUGCAGCUUUGAGAUCCACGAGGUGGUGGUGGCCCUAGCGCCAGACUCCACUGCUAUGGAACCUGCCCAGUUGAAUUUGGGAGCCAGUGAGGGACCUGACAGCAGCACCAGGAGACGCCCAAAGGUAGGGAGGUGACAGAUACUGCUGAAGUUUAGGAACUCCUCUAGCCAUUGCUGGCCCAAGAAUCCUGCAGAGGCAUCCAGAGUCUCAGUUUUCUCAUCUGUAAACGAUGUGCUUGUUAUGAGGCUUCGGUAAGGUAAGUGUGUAAAAACCAUGGCAAAAUGCUUGUAACUUAAAAGAGAGGAUUUCUAUGAGGCUUCUAUAAAGUAAGUGUAUAAAAAUCUGGACACAAUACCUAUGAUUUUUUCAGUGUUCAGUAUAUGGAGAAGGAGAUUAUAUUCUCUCAUCUAAUUUUCAGAGCCAGUUUAUAAAAAUGGUGAUACUCAUAUUUCUUAGACGAUGAAAUCAAUGAUCAGAAAGAAUAAAUAGAUCAUCAAAGUCACACAGCAGUUCACAAUGCGUUCCUUGUGUAAUUUCUAGUUAAAAGUAGCAAUGAUGAUCACAUUGAAAAUUUUGUAUUAUGUGGUAGUUUUCACUUACAUAAUCCUUUUGGUGUUUUGAAACCAUAUAUUCUAAGUUGCUCUACCAAAGCGAUCAUUAGAAAAAUGUGAUGUAGUUAGUGUGUAAAUUUUAGAAAAUUUCUUCCGUUAGUCUUGUUAAUUUGAUUGCAAAUAUGUGUUAUUUUCAAAAACGUAAAUGGAAUAUAUAUUGAUUGGACUUGUAUGUGUAUAUAUGAAAUAUGACUGGACAUUAUAGAGUAGGCUUAGUUCAUGGCAAUGUUUUUUUCUGAAAGCACCUGAAGAAAUCACUCUUAUUUCCAGUUUGUUAGUGUUUCAGAGAUUAUGGGGGAAAGGGGGUUCUAUGAAUGUCAGACACUGCGUGAGGCACAUUUGGUUUCAGUAAUUUUAGCAUCAUUCAUUGUAAAGUGAUGAUCCCUCGGAACUUCUUCACAAUGAGAAACCUGAAAGGUCCCAGCAGCCAGCAAUGAAUGAAAGGUGGGGUGGGGCCGCUGGCAGGGCGAGGCCUUGUGAGCCAUGUGCCUGUGCUCUCAAGUCCGAAGUUUGUGGGGAUGUAUGCAGGAGAUUCUGGCCCUGAUUGUUUCCCCAGAACCAGGAUGCGUUCUGGUUGGCAGGACAACUGGCCUUCACUUGGUGGCCUUCAGUGGGUGUUCUCAUUGGUUGCCUUCGUUUAGUGCCCUCAGUUGUUUCUCUUCAGUUGGCGGUCCUCAGUUGGUGGUCUUCGGUUGUUGGGCAGUGGUGGGAGGAGGAUGAAUCCAUUUGUGCUCUCUCCUCCCCCAGUCACAGCUCUCAGGCUUGUUGCCUCCAGGCCCUUCUAAAAUAAACUAGACAGGUGGCAGGAUUUUUUUAGCAGACAAGUCAGCUCAGGGUACAGGGGUGAAGCGGGUUGCGGGAUGCUAGUGCAGUGUCGCCUCAUGGCCCAGGGCUGCCCGUGCCAGCCAUGCCUUUGUCAGGAAGAGGCGAUAGGUGUUGAGCUCUGCAGUCGUGGGGGCCAGGGAAGGCCCAAGCUGCCUGAGAAGAGCAGGGGUGCCCCAUGGGGCCCACACUGAACUGUCGCAUGUGCACCAAAGCCAGCCCCAGUCAGGGCUGGCAAAGGGGUUCUGCAGAGCCAGCCUGUGGCUCUGACAUCUACGAGUGUGCAGACAGCGAAGGCGCAAGCUGCGAUAUACAGGACCAGAAGCACCCGGAACACGCUUUCCCCCACUGCGAGCCGCAAUUGGGCUAGCUCAGGGUGCGGUGGGUGAAGCUUUCCUGCAGCUCUGAGAUCCACGAAGUGGAGGUGGUAGUAGCGCAGGACCCCACUGCUUUGGAGGCUGCCCAAUCGAAUUUGGGAGCCAGUGAGUGUCCUGACAGCGGCACCAGAAGACCCCGAAAGCAUGCAGACUGUGAAGAUGCAGGCCGCGAUAUACGGGAGCAGAGGUGCCCAGAACAUGCUGUCCCCCAAUGCCAGCCACAAGUGGGGCUAUCUGAGGGUGUGAUGGGUGAAGCUGUCCUGCAGCUCUGAGAUCCACGAGGCAGAGGCAGCAGUAGCGCUGGACUCCACUGCUUUGGAGGCUGCCCAGUCGAAUUUGGGAGCCAGCAAGAGUCCUGACAGCAGCACAUUGGCCACCAGAAGACACCCAAAGGGAGAGGAGCGGAAGACCUUCUGGUGUGGGCUGGGCAGCAAUUCACUUGAAGGAGAAACAGCCCCGGUGUGGAGAGGCGGCCAUCCUUGGCGGGAUCCUUUCUAAGGAGCCGAGAAAUCAACGUAGAGCUUCCUCUGUCUGAUUCUCUAACAACUGCAGACCUUCCAUGAGUCAAGCUUUGUGUCAAAAGGACAAAUAAAAAGGACCUAUAAAAGGCAUCACCAAGCCCAAUGGACAGAUGCCCCAGGCUGCACAUUCUGUCAGUGCUGUUCUGGAAAAGGCCCAAACACAUGCUGAAACAUCGAAGGAUAAGAAGCCAGCCCUCGGGAACCGGCAGGAGCACUCUGGGCCCCGCACGGCCCCAAGUCCAGCCUGCCCCGCCUCCUCUGGUGCAGAGGUCCAGGGAUACCAGCAGCAGCCCCGCCACGCCCCUCCAAGGCCAAGAACACAGGCGGCAGGGGCUUCCCCUCCCUGCCAGACUACUUCCUGCCGCCACAGCCACCACCCUUGGACGACCCAGAGCUCCCGCCGCCCCUGGACUUCGUGCUCCCUCCCCCCGCGGUCGCCAAGAGGCCUCCUAAUGCCCCACCCCCGCAAGAGACACGAAGCAUCAAUGUUCAGAAGCAGCAAAUAAAUAAAAUAAAUGAAUAAAAGUUAAACGUUCAAAAAAAAAAAAAAAAAAAAAAAAAAAAAA